Molecule: non-coding RNA, 70 nt
Organism: Podarcis lilfordi (Lilford's wall lizard)
Lineage: Eukaryota; Metazoa; Chordata; Lepidosauria; Squamata; Lacertidae
Source: the annotation of a GenBank genome assembly
GGCCAUAGCUCAGUGGUAGAGCAUCUGCUUUGCAUGCAGAAGGGUCCAUGUUCAAUCAUCAGCAUCAUCA